UAAUACGAAGGGUGCAAGCGUUACUCGGAAUUACUGGGCGUAAAGCGUGCGUAGGUGGCGAGUUAAGUCUGAUGUGAAAUCCCCGGGCUCAACCUGGGAAUGGCAUUGGAUACUGGCUUGCUGGAGUGCGGUAGAGGGUGGUGGAAUUCCCGGUGUAGCAGUGAAAUGCGUAGAGAUCGGGAGGAACAUCCGUGGCGAAGGCGGCCACCUGGACCAGCACUGACACUGAGGCACGAAAGCGUGGGGAGCAAACAGG
This 256-nucleotide ribosomal RNA is filed under the name uncultured archaeon. RNAcentral's name for it is "partial 16S ribosomal RNA". It matches the Rfam family "Bacterial small subunit ribosomal RNA", at positions 521 to 776 of the family's 1533-position model. The record is from RNAcentral.